GGUGGACCUUGUAUGGUGAAUUGAAGGAGUGAGAACGAGUUCACAUGAGCAAUUGGACUUGCAAUACUCCAAAUAUGCGGUUGGGCAAUAAUAUUCUGCAUCAUCUGAUAAAUCACAAAAUUUAGAACAGAAUAAAGUUUGAUUGUAAGAAUUAGGAAACAGCUUUCUGAAUUGCAAAGCCAUCACAGAGGAAUAGGAAGGAUUGCAAUCUUGGAUGUGAAAAAUAAGAAAAGUAUUAGGGGUAAAAAGAGAGGAAAGCUUGGUCAGGUUCUGGCAGGCAAG
This 282-nucleotide unclassified non-coding RNA is filed under the name Hevea brasiliensis (rubber tree). Lineage: Eukaryota; Viridiplantae; Streptophyta; Magnoliopsida; Malpighiales; Euphorbiaceae. The record is from RNAcentral.